Molecule: long non-coding RNA, 314 nt
Filed under: Ananas comosus (pineapple)
Lineage: Eukaryota; Viridiplantae; Streptophyta; Magnoliopsida; Poales; Bromeliaceae
Description: long non-coding RNA (ACOM_LNC043925)
Source: RNAcentral
AAUUUACUACUAUUACUUCCCACUACCGGGGACGUGUUUUUGCCAUUACUCCUAUCCUUCUUCACACCGUUUUAAACAUUCCAAAUGACGGCGUUUGCUACUACCAAACCAAUACUUGAAACUUUCUUGCAUUUUCUGAGGCGCAACUCCGUAAUCAUUUUCUUUGUGAAGAUUCUACUUCACGAGAAGAUUGCUCUCAUCUUUCCUUUCCUCACCGCCUCGCCCACUUUUUACUUACUAAAGUAAUUCUUCCUCAAGACGGUCACCACACCGUCAUUCAAAAAAUGGAUCUUUUUCUACUUUAUCAUCUAUUU